This 693-nucleotide unclassified non-coding RNA is filed under the name Hevea brasiliensis (rubber tree). The record is from RNAcentral. Lineage: Eukaryota; Viridiplantae; Streptophyta; Magnoliopsida; Malpighiales; Euphorbiaceae.
UUUUGGUUCCGGUUGCCAACGGCACCGAGCCGCUUGAGGCAGUCAUCACCAUUGACGUGCUUCGACGUGCUGGAGCUGAUGUUACCGUUGCUUCCGUCGAGAAUCAUAUUCGUGUUGAUGCUGCGCAUCAGAUCAAGAUUGUUGCGGAUUCUCUCAUUUCCGAUUGCGCGGAUACUGUUUUCGAUCUCAUCGCCCUUCCUGGAGGUAUGCCAGGUGCUACCAGUCUUAGAGAUUGUGAAGUUUUGCAGAACAUAGUGAAGAAGCAAGCUGCAGAUGGUCGACUUUAUGCUGCCAUCUGUGCUUCACCUGCAGUGGUGCUUGGAUCAUGGGGUUUGCUGAAAGGGUUGAAAGCCACAUGCUAUCCAUCAUUUAUGGAGCAACUGGGAUCUACUGCAACUGCUGUUGAAUCCCGAGUACAGAUUGAUGGCCAAGUUGUGACAAGUCGUGGGCCUGGUACUACCUUGGAGUUUGCCGUUGCUCUGGUUGAGCAGUUGUAUGGGAAAGAAAAAGCUGACGAAGUUUCUGGACCUCUGUUGUUGCGUUCCAACCAUGGUCAUGAAUAUACCAUAGCUGAGCACAAUCAAGUAAAGUGGACAUUUGAUGAUGGCCCAAGGAUUCUUGUACCUAUAGCUAAUGGUACUGAGGAAAUGGAGGCUGUUAUGAUCAUCGAUAUAUUACGCCGAGCCGAAGCCA